This is an RNA transcript of Pocillopora verrucosa, 1311 nucleotides long. RefSeq lists it as uncharacterized. The record is from RefSeq and is a predicted model, not a curated record. Lineage: Eukaryota; Metazoa; Cnidaria; Anthozoa; Scleractinia; Pocilloporidae.
UUUUAAGGUUAACACAUAGCGAAGUUUUCUAACGAAUCACAAUCGAUCGUCUGGUAGACGUUACAAAAGGAGGGUGAUAGAGAGUAUUGGACAGAGUAUUUCAGUCCAAAAACGUGGAGGAGAACUCUAAGUGAUCGAUAGAGAGGAAAGCAAUCUUCAGCUGCAUGUUCAUUUCCUUCAUACGUCCACUUAAGUAUGGCGGCCGUUUCUUUGUCGAAUUGCUUGACACUCAAUUUGUACGAAUGCUGCUCCCAGUUCUAGGGAGUCAAUGAAAAUUGAUGGACAGCAGGUUGACUGUUACAUUGGGAGCAUAAUAGAAGCAGCCACAUCAAGCUUGCGGGACAUUGUUGUAAGGGUAUCAAGCAGCACUGAACAGUCAGAGAAAGAUUUUGGUAAUAGUAGUGCAUCAUCACUAAAUGUCUGUGGAAUCUUGACAUCAUCCUAUAAUGAAGUGACUCCAAGUGAGAGUCUUACUGCAGUCUGUGAGCCUGAGGGAGGAACUCCAGUUCCAGCUCAGAAAUAUGAGGCACUUGAUGCCCCCAGUCAAGAAGUCUUUGAGCCUGGAGGAAGAACUCCAGUUCCAGCUCAGAGUUAUGAGGCAUCACCAGCACUUGAUGCUCCCAGUCAAGAAGGUAAUUACUGCAGCUGUUUAAUGAGUAUGCUCUAUUGCAAGUAGUUCAGCCAGGGCUGCCAUUAGCCUUUUGUAUCCCAGGUGGAAUAUUCUCCCAGUCUUUGAGCCUGAAGGAGGAACUCCAGUUCCAGCUCAGAAAUAUGAGGCAUCACCAGCACUUGAUGCCCCCAGUCAAGAAGUGCCUGUUCAGGAGAGCUCUGACCCCCCUAUUGAUCAACCUCCCCAGUUCCCAUCAUCACCUGAGCCCAGUGGAAAGAAGAUCAAAUCCUGCUGGUUCAAAUGGCGAUGAAAGUCUUCAGUAGUUACACCAACAACAGAGGACACUGAGAAAGACUCACAGGUUGGAGUACCUUGCAUUGCUUUUGAACAAUCCCAUCUUACCUUGGACAAAAAUGAGGUCAGUUCUUCCUUCGCAAAAAAUGGUAAGUGAUUGAAAUCACAAGGGCUUGAGUUUUUAAUUCAUGUAGUUUAAGAAAAUAAUUCAAUAAUGGUAUGAUCAGGGUUUUUCUGACAGUAAGCUCUUGUAUCUGAUGAGUAUUUUCCUAUGAAUGAUAAAUAAAUACCUAAAGGUGAAAGGUUUUUUUUUAUAUUAACCAUUUUGUAUUGCAUGAGAUUUCAACUGCAAAGUCCAUGAAAAGUAGUGUGAUUGUCUGGGUUGAGAUAAUUAAUGUAUAAUUUGU